Molecule: ribosomal RNA, 492 nt
Filed under: uncultured bacterium
Lineage: Bacteria
Description: partial 16S ribosomal RNA
Rfam family: Bacterial small subunit ribosomal RNA
Source: RNAcentral
AGUGAACGCUGGCGGUAGGCUUAACACAUGCAAGUCGAACGGCAGCACAGUAAGAGCUUGCUCUUACGGGUGGCGAGUGGCGGACGGGUGAGGAAUACAUCGGAAUCUACUUUUUCGUGGGGGAUAACGUAGGGAAACUUACGCUAAUACCGCAUACGACCUACGGGUGAAAGCAGGGGAUCUUCGGACCUUGCGCGAUUGAAUGAGCCGAUGUCGGAUUAGCUAGUUGGCGGGGUAAAGGCCCACCAGGGCGACGAUCCGUAGCUGGUCUGAGAGGGUGAUCAGCCACACUGGAACUGAGACACGGUCCAGACUCCUACGGGAGGCAGCAGUGGGGAAUAUUGGACAAUGGGCGCAAGCCUGAUCCAGCCAUACCGCGUGGGUGAAGAAGGCCUUCGGGUUGUAAAGCCCUUUUGUUGGGAAAGAAAAGCAGCAGGUUAAUACCCCGCUGUUCUGACGGUACCCAAAGAAUAAGCACCGGCUAACUUCGUG